Molecule: ribosomal RNA, 492 nt
Filed under: uncultured bacterium
Lineage: Bacteria
Description: partial 16S ribosomal RNA
Rfam family: Bacterial small subunit ribosomal RNA
Source: RNAcentral
AGUGAACGCUGGCGGUAGGCCUAACACAUGCAAGUCGAACGGCAGCACAGUAAUAGCUUGCUCUUACGGGUGGCGAGUGGCGGACGGGUGAGGAAUACAUCGGAAUCUACUUUUUCGUGGGGGAUAACGUAGGGAAACUUACGCUAAUACCGCAUACGACCUACGGGUGAAAGCAGGGGAUCUUCUGACCUUGCGCGAUUGAAUGAGCCGAUGUCGGAUUAGAUAGUUGGCGGGGUAAAGGCCAACCAAGGCGACGAUCCGUAGCUGGUCUGAGAGGAUGGUAGGCCGCACGGGAACUGAGACACGGUCCAGACUCCUACGGGAGGCAGCAGUGGGGAAUAUUGGACAGUGGGGGCAAGCCUGAUCCAGCCAUACCGCGUGGGUGAAGAAGGCCUUCGGGUUGUAAAGCCGUUUUGUUGGGAAAGAAAAGCAGCAGGUUAAUACCCCGCUGUUCUGACGGUACCCAAAGAAUAAGCACCGGCUAACUUCGUG